ACCCUUUCUUCCCCCUGGAGCGCUAUUUAGAAUUCUCCAGAACCAAAGCCCAUGGCCUCUGUGUUUUGAGAAGGGCUGCUAUGGAAAUGUUUUUAUUUCUCCCUUUCUUCAUCUCGAUGCUUGCCUGACAAGGGCGUUGGGAAUUCAGUGAAAUAAUGCACAUUUGCACUAAGUAGGUCAUCAAUACACGGUAGCCUCUCCUGUCUCUGGGUCGCCUGUGUCCUGGCUAAAUGGAGCUUGCGGUCAGAAAGUUCAUUCUGGUGUCUAAGAUGUGCCCCUCCUCCUGCAAUCGAAGGUCUUUUCUUUUCAUCUCAUCGAGAGCAGUUUAUUAGCUUCAAACAUGAUGAGGAAACCUCAUCUCGCAUAUACCUGAUUUAUAGGCCUUUGAGAGAGUGAACUUCAGAGGGCUGAGGGCUGAACGGGAGGCAGUCCAGAGGGUGGGGUGGGUCUUGGGCUCCAUCCCUGAGAUGGUUAAACCUGCCACGAUUAGCCUGGAGUAUCGGCUGGCUGGCUGGCCUCAUUUGGACAGUCCUAAGUUUGGCUGUGCCUUGUUCAGAGCCAGAUGACACGGUCCUGAAAACAGUUCCUGGAGGGGUCCUGCAGGAACCUACAGUUUGCUCUCACCUACUUGAAAUGCACGACCUACUCGUUCUCCUGGACCUGCUCUGUGUGUGUCCAGCUCAGGCUCAGCACUGUGGGACCUCUGGGCAGGCAGCCCCAUGCCUAUCUCCCUUUCACUUCUUUCUUACAGAGUCCUUCCUCCCCUGCCACCUUCCUUUUCUCCCUCCUUCCCUCCCUCCUCUCUCCUUCCCCCCCUCCCCACUUCCAUCCUCCAGCUCUGGGUGUGAUCUCCAUCUGUGACCCUGGUUUCUUGGUUGUCCCUUGGUGCAGGAACAGAGGUGUGGGGUCCGGGGGCCCCUUCGCUCCCUUCUUCCUGUCCAAGCAGCAGGGACCUGGCACAGGGUGCACGACUUCACCCGCAGCUGUUGAUUCCCAGGUCUGGGCUUCUCCUGAUCACCUGAGUCUACUUUACCAAUGACAGCCACCCCGAAGGAGGAGGUAAGGGGACAUGCAGUCAGACGGCACCUUGCACUCCUCAUGUGGGGCCUGGGCGGCAGUGGGCCUGGUCAGCCGCCCGACUGUCCAGGGAGGGGAGGAGAGAAAUGAGGACGAGGUCUUCAGAUGGUCACAUGCCCCACCGCCCAUCCCAUCCUGAGACCCGAGGGUUUGCUCCAUCAGGAGAAAGAUCUUGCCUUUCCCCUCUCUUCUCUUCACCACGUGGCAGUGGAAGGGCAGUACCCUGGAGGGGCAGUCCCCUGAAGGGGCUCACCCGAAAGGUCUUGUAAACGAAGAAGACAAAGCCCAGCUUGGUGUUUCUGUUCCGAUGGGGCCACAACCCAAAUCUGAGCAGCCUCAGCUCCCAGUACAGCCGGUGCGAGAGCUUGGCUGCCCUCCCUGGCUUCACAGCUGACCUGCUGUGUGACCUUGGGCAAGGCAGACUUGCUCUCUGUUCACCAUCUGCAGACGUGGAUGAAGACGCUGGCUGCCACUGCUCUUCCUGAGGCACCGACCGAGGCCCAGAGCUGUGCCCAGACACAGCCCGGUUCUUAGGCAGGGACGCCGCGGGGCGAAGGCAGGCUCCCGCUCCCUGGAGGCCCCGGGCGGCUCACUGGCUCAGAGGAGGCAGACUGGGCACAGAUGGUCCUUGGCAGAACGUGCGGGUCACGUUGAGAGAGGAAGCUGGCUCCUCAAUUAGAACCGGAGCAGAUGGGCCCAAGGCAGCCGGGGGACACGUCCUAGGUGUUCAGGUGUGACAGUGAGCUGGUGGCCUUCAAAGGACGGAGGAGUCACCUGGUAUCCCGUUCUUGGAGGAGGGGUGGUGCUCAGAGUGAGUCGGAUAGCCGAGUCUCCUCCCUCUGCAGAGCUGGCCUCCUGUGUGCCGGGCAGCCAUGAGGCCCGUGGUUAACACUGGACAGCCUGGACCUGGCCUGGCCUGUCCACACGCCCAUGGUGUCUCACCACUUGCAUAGGAAUUGGGGCCGGGGCAGGAGGUGUGUCAUAAAUGCAGAUUCCUGGGGCCCACCUGGAACUACUAGGUCAGGCUAUCAAGGGUUAAGCCCAGGAACCCACAUUUUAAAUAAGCUCCAGAGCUGAUUCCUGUGCUUUGGAGUUUGUGUCAAAGAGCGCAGUGACCAGCCCCUUCCUCCACCACUGGCUCUGAGCAUGAAUGACGUGUGUGCCUGGAAUGGUUUUUUGCGAGUCCAACCCCAGGGCCUAGCUUGCCAGAUAAGCGCUUUCCUCCCACUUCUCCUCGUUGAAU
RNAcentral lists this long non-coding RNA (2320 nucleotides) under Sus scrofa (pig). Its description in RNAcentral is "lncRNA (ENSSSCG00000060091.1)". The record is from RNAcentral. Lineage: Eukaryota; Metazoa; Chordata; Mammalia; Artiodactyla; Suidae.